Non-coding RNA from Microcebus murinus (gray mouse lemur), 827 nucleotides. The record is from RefSeq and is a predicted model, not a curated record. NCBI's taxonomy places the organism in Eukaryota, Metazoa, Chordata, Mammalia, Primates, Cheirogaleidae.
ACUCCAAGCGCAGAGGGGAAGUCCUGUGCGCUGAAACGCCGGGAGGGUGAUGUGAAGGCCUUGGAAUACGAGAAAACAAAACUGAGAGACGCCCCCCCCCCCAGCCCGGGUUUCACAGAGCAACGAGCAGAAACUGAAACCAACAGACGCUCCUAUUGACAAGUUCACCUUCUGAAGCCCUGUAACCCAGAAACUCUCUCAAAUUAUUUAAAACGAGCGAGCGAUUUCCCGUCACAGAGCCGAGGCCGAGCCCUGUCAGACGCUGGGAGGUCGCGGCAGACUGGAGGGCCGGCGCCGCUCGGCUCCGAAAAGAACGAGGAGGAAAGGCGAGAUGCCUCCUCCCCCGCUUUCUCCGGGCUGUGGAGUCUGCCACUUGCCACAUGAGCGACGACAGCGACGUGGCCAGGUCCAACAUGCCGAGAAAUGGGGGAAGUGACACUGGGUGACAUUCUCCACGAGAGCGGUGACAGAACUGUGAAACAAUACAAAUGUGCAUAAAGACAAAGAACUCCCACUGCGGGCCAAGGUGCAGCAAGCUCACUUAACUUCUAUCUCCCAUUGAUUACAAGCAAAAAUUGUGGACAAAACACAAAAUGCAACUACCUGAGAACUCUGAGAAGUUAAGAAUGCAAGCUGAUUAUGGAGAAUCUAAACUUGAAGGAAAAUCCAUACACAGACAGGAAGAAAGUGACUUGGGUGAGACCACCCAGCAACUGAGGCACAGAGCCAAGGCUGGAAUUCAGUUCUCCACACCUGGUAAAGAGGAGAGGCAGGCAUUACAGAUGAAAGAAGGAAAGAGACAGGGUAUUGCUCGUGCUCAGGCGGGG